GAUGAAGAACGUAGUGAAAUGCGAUAAGUAGUGUGAAUUGCAGAAUUCAGUGAAUCAUCGAAUCUUUGAACGCACAUUGCGCCCCUUGGUAUUCCAUGGGGCAUGCCUGUUCGAGCGUCAUUUGUACCUUCAAGCUUUGCUUGGUGUUGGGUGUUUGUCUCGCCUUUGCGUGUAGACUCGCCUUAAAAUAGUUGGCAGCCGGCGUAUUGAUUUCGGAGCGCAGUACAUCUCGCGCUUUGCACUCAUAACGACAGCGUCCAAAAGUACAUUUUACACUCUUGACCUCGGAUCAGGUAGGGAUACCCGCUGAACUUAAGCAUAUCAAUAAGCGGAGGA
Molecule: unclassified non-coding RNA, 336 nt
Filed under: soil metagenome
Description: partial contains 5.8S ribosomal RNA, internal transcribed spacer 2, and large subunit ribosomal RNA
Rfam family: 5.8S ribosomal RNA (bases 1-120)
Source: RNAcentral